Molecule: ribosomal RNA, 279 nt
Filed under: uncultured bacterium
Lineage: Bacteria
Description: partial 16S ribosomal RNA
Rfam family: Bacterial small subunit ribosomal RNA
Source: RNAcentral
CCCUCGCCCCUAGUUGCCAUCAUUCAGUUGGGAACUCUARGGGGACUGCCGGUGAUAAGCCGCGAGGAAGGUGGGGAUGACGUCAAGUCCUCAUGGCCCUUACAGGCUGGGCUACACACGUGCUACAAUGGCGGUGACAAUGGGCAGCGAAAGGGCGACCUCGAGCUAAUCCCAAAAAGCCGUCUCAGUUCAGAUUGCACUCUGCAACUCGAGUGCAUGAAGGUGGAAUCGCUAGUAAUCGYGGAUCAGCAUGCCACGGUGAAUACGUUCCCGGGCCUU